UACGAAGGGGGCUAGCGUUGUUCGGAUUUACUGGGCGUAAAGCGCACGUAGGCGGAUUGUUAAGUCAGGGGUGAAAUCCUGGAGCUCAACUCCAGAACUGCCUUUGAUACUGGCAAUCUCGAGUCCGGAAGAGGUAAGUGGAACUCCUAGUGUAGAGGUGGAAUUCGUAGAUAUUAGGAAGAACACCAGUGGCGAAGGCGGCUUACUGGUCCGGAACUGACGCUGAGGUGCGAAAGCGUGGGGAGCAAACAGGAUUAGAAACCCCCGUAGUCC
RNAcentral lists this ribosomal RNA (273 nucleotides) under uncultured bacterium. RNAcentral's name for it is "partial 16S ribosomal RNA". It matches the Rfam family "Bacterial small subunit ribosomal RNA", at positions 524 to 796 of the family's 1533-position model. The record is from RNAcentral.